This 327-nucleotide ribosomal RNA is filed under the name uncultured eukaryote. RNAcentral describes it as "partial 18S ribosomal RNA". It matches the Rfam family "Eukaryotic small subunit ribosomal RNA", at positions 1470 to 1796 of the family's 1831-position model. The record is from RNAcentral.
CCCUUAGAUGUUCUGGGCCGCACGCGCGCUACACUGACGGAUUCAACGAGCUUACAACCUUUGCCGAAAGGUCUGGGUAAUCUCCAAAAUCCGUCGUGAUGGGGAUAGAUUAUUGCAAUUAUUAAUCUUCAACGAGGAAUGCCUAGUAAGCGCAAGUCAUCAGCUUGCGUUGAUUACGUCCCUGCCCUUUGUACACACCGCCCGUCGCUCCUACCGAUUGAAUGGUCCGGUGAAGCGUUUGGACUAUGGUUUUCUGAUGGUCCGCCGUUGGAUUACCGUGGGAAGUUCGUUAAACCUUAUCAUUUAGAGGAAGGAGAAGUCGUAACA